AAAUCACAAUGCGGGACUAUUAGUCUUGCAAUUGGAUUGAGAACAACGUACAACUCUUAUCGAUAAGCCAUUGGAGGGCAAGUCUGGUGCCAGCAGCCGCGGUAAUUCCAGCUCCAAUAGCGUAUAUUAACGUUGUUGCAGUUAAAAAGCUCGUAGUUGAAGUGAGGGAGUGUGUGGGCAUAAGAGCUAGUCUCAAGUACUCACAACCUCCCCCCUCCAAUCGGUGUAGUGGGGUAUUCAGUUAUUCCACUACUCCUUUGGUCGUUUACUGUGAGAAAAUUAGAGUGUUCAAAGCGGGCGUUUGUUUGAAUAGAUUAGCAUGGAAUAAUGAUUGAAGGCUUUCGUGUUCGAUUUGAUUGGUUUGUUCAUGGAAGCAAGGUUAAAAGGAACAGUUGGGGGUAUUCAUAUUCACUAGUUAGAGGUGAAAUUCUCGGAUUUAUGGAAGAUGA
Molecule: ribosomal RNA, 449 nt
Filed under: Blastocystis sp.
Lineage: Eukaryota; Bigyra; Opalinata; Blastocystidae
Description: SSU rRNA
Rfam family: Eukaryotic small subunit ribosomal RNA
Source: RNAcentral